This 461-nucleotide ribosomal RNA is filed under the name uncultured bacterium. Its description in RNAcentral is "bacterial SSU rRNA". It matches the Rfam family "Bacterial small subunit ribosomal RNA", at positions 29 to 534 of the family's 1533-position model. The record is from RNAcentral.
AACGAACGCUGGCGGCAUGCCUAACACAUGCAAGUCGAACGAGACCUUCGGGUCUAGUGGCGCACGGGUGCGUAACGCGUGGGAACCUGCCUUUAGGUUCGGAAUAACUCAGAGAAAUUUGAGCUAAUACCGGAUAAUGUCUUCGGACCAAAGAUUUAUCGCCUUUAGAUGGGCCCGCGUUGGAUUAGCUAGUUGGUGGGGUAAAGGCCUACCAAGGCGACGAUCCAUAGCUGGUCUGAGAGGAUGAUCAGCCACACUGGGACUGAGACACGGCCCAGACUCCUACGGGAGGCAGCAGUGGGGAGUAUUGGACAAUGGGCGAAAGCCUGAUCCAGCAAUGCCGCGUGAGUGAUGAAGGCCUUAGGGUUGUAAAGCUCUUUUACCCGAGAUGAUAAUGACAGUAUCGGGAGAAUAAGCUCCGGCUAAACUCCGUGCCAGCAGCCGCGGUAAAGUGACUACUG